RNAcentral lists this ribosomal RNA (219 nucleotides) under uncultured bacterium. Its description in RNAcentral is "partial 16S ribosomal RNA". It matches the Rfam family "Bacterial small subunit ribosomal RNA", at positions 112 to 334 of the family's 1533-position model. The record is from RNAcentral.
AAUGCAUAGGAAUCUGCCCAGUAGUGGGGGAUAACGUGGAGAAAUCCACGCUAAUACCGCAUAUGUCCUACGGGACAAAGCAGGGGACCUUCGGGCCUUGCGCUAUUGGAUGAGCCUAUGUCGGAUUAGCUAGUUGGUAGGGUAAAAGCCUACCAAGGCGACGAUCCGUAGCUGGUCUGAGAGGAUGAUCAGCCACACUGGGACUGAGACACGGCCCAG